AUGUAUAUAUAUAUAUACAUACAAACAUAUAUUGGCUGUAGCCGACAUAAUGAAAUAGGAGCUUUUAUAUGCAUACUCAAAAACGUUUCCUGUGAACGAGCUUAAAGGAUA
Molecule: long non-coding RNA, 111 nt
Organism: Octopus sinensis (East Asian common octopus)
Lineage: Eukaryota; Metazoa; Mollusca; Cephalopoda; Octopoda; Octopodidae
Exons: 3
Source: RefSeq, a predicted model, not a curated record